Molecule: ribosomal RNA, 244 nt
Filed under: uncultured bacterium
Lineage: Bacteria
Description: partial 16S ribosomal RNA
Rfam family: Bacterial small subunit ribosomal RNA
Source: RNAcentral
UACAGAGGGUGCAAGCGUUAAUCGGAAUUACUGGGCGUAAAGCGUGCGUAGACGGUAGCGUAAGUCGGGUGUGAAAGCCCCGGGCUCAACCUGGGAAUUGCAUUCGAGACUGCUCUGCUAGGGUGCGGAAGAGGGGAGCGGAAUUCCGGUGUAGCGGUGAAAUGACGUAGAUAUCGGAAGGAACACCAGUGGCGAAAGCGGCUCCCUGGUCCAGCACCGGACCGUUCAGGCACGAAAGGCGUGG